RNAcentral lists this ribosomal RNA (570 nucleotides) under Botryosphaeria dothidea. Its description in RNAcentral is "eukaryotic LSU rRNA". The stretch from base 208 to 361 matches the Rfam family "5.8S ribosomal RNA". The record is from RNAcentral. Lineage: Eukaryota; Fungi; Ascomycota; Dothideomycetes; Botryosphaeriales; Botryosphaeriaceae.
GUAGGUGAACCUGCGGAAGGAUCAUUACCGAGUUGAUUCGGGCUCCGGCCCGAUCCUCCCACCCUUUGUGUACCUACCUCUGUUGCUUUGGCGGGCCGCGGUCCUCCGCGGCCGGCCCCCCUCCCCGGGGGGUGGCCAGCGCCCGCCAGAGGACCAUCAAACUCCAGUCAGUAAACGAUGCAGUCUGAAAAACAUUUAAUAAACUAAAACUUUCAACAACGGAUCUCUUGGUUCUGGCAUCGAUGAAGAACGCAGCGAAAUGCGAUAAGUAAUGUGAAUUGCAGAAUUCAGUGAAUCAUCGAAUCUUUGAACGCACAUUGCGCCCUUUGGUAUUCCGAAGGGCAUGCCUGUUCGAGCGUCAUUACAACCCUCAAGCUCUGCUUGGUAUUGGGCACCGUCCUUUGCGGGCGCGCCUCAAAGACCUCGGCGGUGGCGUCUUGCCUCAAGCGUAGUAGAACAUACAUCUCGCUUCGGAGCGCAGGGCGUCGCCCGCCGGACGAACCUUCUGAACUUUUCUCAAGGUUGACCUCGGAUCAGGUAGGGAUACCCGCUGAACUUAAGCAUAUCAAU